CCUGUCUCAGUUCGGAUUGGAGUCUGNAACCCGACUCCAUGAAGCUGGAUUCGCUAGUAAUCGCGCAUCAGCCACGGCGCGGUGAAUACGUUCCCGGGCCUUGUACACACCGCCCGUCAAGCCAUGGAAGCCGGGGGUGCCUGAAGUGCGCUGCCGCAAGGAGCGCCCUAGGGUAAAACCGGUGACUGGGGCUAAGUCGUAACAAGGUAGC
This 211-nucleotide ribosomal RNA is filed under the name uncultured bacterium. RNAcentral describes it as "partial 16S ribosomal RNA". It matches the Rfam family "Bacterial small subunit ribosomal RNA", at positions 1282 to 1500 of the family's 1533-position model. The record is from RNAcentral.